Molecule: ribosomal RNA, 748 nt
Filed under: Lactobacillus delbrueckii subsp. bulgaricus
Lineage: Bacteria; Bacillati; Bacillota; Bacilli; Lactobacillales; Lactobacillaceae
Description: bacterial SSU rRNA
Rfam family: Bacterial small subunit ribosomal RNA
Source: RNAcentral
CUGGCGGCGUGCCUAAUACAUGCAAGUCGAGCGAGCUGAAUUCAAAGAUUCCUUCGGGAUGAUUUGUUGGACGCUAGCGGCGGAUGGGUGAGUAACACGUGGGCAAUCUGCCCUAAAGACUGGGAUACCACUUGGAAACAGGUGCUAAUACCGGAUAACAACAUGAAUCGCAUGAUUCAAGUUUGAAAGGCGGCGUAAGCUGUCACUUUAGGAUGAGCCCGCGGCGCAUUAGCUAGUUGGUGGGGUAAAGGCCUACCAAGGCAAUGAUGCGUAGCCGAGUUGAGAGACUGAUCGGCCACAUUGGGACUGAGACACGGCCCAAACUCCUACGGGAGGCAGCAGUAGGGAAUCUUCCACAAUGGACGCAAGUCUGAUGGAGCAACGCCGCGUGAGUGAAGAAGGUUUUCGGAUCGUAAAGCUCUGUUGUUGGUGAAGAAGGAUAGAGGCAGUAACUGGUCUUUAUUUGACGGUAAUCAACCAGAAAGUCACGGCUAACUACGUGCCAGCAGCCGCGGUAAUACGUAGGUGGCAAGCGUUGUCCGGAUUUAUUGGGCGUAAAGCGAGCGCAGGCGGAAUGAUAAGUCUGAUGUGAAAGCCCACGGCUCAACCGUGGAACUGCAUCGGAAACUGUCAUUCUUGAGUGCAGAAGAGGAGAGUGGAAUUCCAUGUGUAGCGGUGGAAUGCGUAGAUAUAUGGAAGAACACCAGUGGCGAAGGCGGCUCUCUGGUCUGCAACUGACGCUGAGCUC